CGCCGGCCACCGGCUCAGGGCUCCGACACGGGCGGAGGACGCAGCGGGCCAGCGGCGCCCGGCAGGGAGGCAGCGGGCCAUCUGCCUGGGGUCACAACCUCGGUUUGCAGCAAAAAUGCUUUCAGAACAGACAGCAGCACUGGGGACACGAUGGGAGUCAAUGAAUGCACAGCUGGAUGGAGCACAAUCCCAUGUGGAAAGGAGAAGCCAGGAAGAGGGGCCAUGGAGAACAGCACCGGGGCCUCUGGAACACCCGUGCUGUGAUCUUGAAGAGGAGCCACAGUCCCUUCAAGAGAAGG
This is a long non-coding RNA of Lepus europaeus (European hare), 299 nucleotides long. RefSeq lists it as uncharacterized. The transcript is spliced from 2 exons. Lineage: Eukaryota; Metazoa; Chordata; Mammalia; Lagomorpha; Leporidae. The record is from RefSeq and is a predicted model, not a curated record.